GACGAACGCUGGCGGCGUGCUUAACACAUGCAAGUCGAACGGAAAGGCCCUGCUUUUGUGGGGUGCUCGAGUGGCGAACGGGUGAGUAACACGUGAGUAACCUGCCCUUGACUUUGGGAUAACUUCAGGAAACUGGGGCUAAUACCGGAUAGGAGCUCCUGCUGCAUGGUGGGGGUUGGAAAGUUUCGGCGGUUGGGGAUGGACUCGCGGCUUAUCAGCUUGUUGGUGGGGUAGUGGCUUACCAAGGCUUUGACGGGUAGCCGGCCUGAGAGGGUGACCGGGGAGAUGGGGACUGAGAGACGGCGGAGGGUGAUACGGGAGGCAGCAGGGGGGAGUAGGGCACAAGGGGCGGAAGGCUGAAGGAGCAACGCCGCGGGGGGGAUGAGGGGAGUAGGGGUGUGAACCGAUAUCGCCUGGGAAGAAGCGGGAGUGAAGGUAAUGGGUAAAGAAGAACAGGCUAACUACGUG
Molecule: ribosomal RNA, 468 nt
Filed under: uncultured bacterium
Lineage: Bacteria
Description: partial 16S ribosomal RNA
Rfam family: Bacterial small subunit ribosomal RNA
Source: RNAcentral